GAUGAACGCUGGCGGCGUGCCUAAUACAUGCAAGUCGAGCGAACAGACGAGGAGCUUGCUCCUCUGACGUUAGCGGCGGACGGGUGAGUAACACGUGGAUAACCUACCAAUAAGACUGGGAUAACUUCGGGAAACCGGAGCUAAUACCGGAUAAUAUAUUGAACCGCAUGGUUCAAUAGUGAAAGACGGUUUUGCUGUCACUUAUAGAUGGAUCCGCGCCGCAUUAGCUAGUUGGUAAGGUAACGGCUUACCAAGGCAACGAUGCGUAGCCGACCUGAGAGGGUGAUCGGCCACACUGGAACUGAGACACGGUCCAGACUCCUACGGGAGGCAGCAGUAGGGAAUCUUCCGCAAUGGGCGAAAGCUUGACGGAGCAACGCCGCGUGAGUGAUGAAGGUCUUCGGAUCGUAAAACUCUGUUAUUAGGGAAGAACAAAUGUGUAAGUAACUAUGCACGUCUUGACGGUACCUAAUCAGAAAGCCACGGCUAACUACGUG
This 497-nucleotide ribosomal RNA is filed under the name uncultured bacterium. RNAcentral's name for it is "partial 16S ribosomal RNA". It matches the Rfam family "Bacterial small subunit ribosomal RNA", at positions 28 to 507 of the family's 1533-position model. The record is from RNAcentral.